UGGGGAAUAUUGCACAAUGGGGGGAAAACCCUGAUGCAGCGACGCCGCGUGAAGGAAGAAGUAUCUCGGUAUGUAAACUUCUAUCAGCAGGGAAGAUAGUGACGGUACCUGACUAAGAAGCCCCGGCUAACUACGUGCC
This 139-nucleotide ribosomal RNA is filed under the name uncultured bacterium. RNAcentral's name for it is "partial 16S ribosomal RNA". It matches the Rfam family "Bacterial small subunit ribosomal RNA", at positions 355 to 509 of the family's 1533-position model. The record is from RNAcentral.